GCAUGUAAACACAUACCUAGAAAAGAGAUGUAAGCUCAUCAUUAUGUUGUUUAACUUCGCGCCAUCAACAAAUCAGAAACGGUCAAUUUGCUUUCUUUAUCUACCUAUCUCGCUUGGAAGCAUCUAAAAAAGAAUGCCUGAGUUCUCCUCACCCAUUAUAUUCGUUACGUUCAAUUGCCAAUUUAUUCAGCAAUAUUUUAGUUUUAUAAUUCACCCAUACCAAUAACAUAGUUAAAAAAUGUGCCAUGCUAAUUUUCCUAACAUUUUAGAUCAUAUACCAAUACAUAUUGGUAGUAAGCAUAAGUAAAUAAAGAAAACGGCGACAAAAAACUCCUCCGCCAUUGUAUUCAGCUGUUUUAUUCAGCAUUCUUCUUGUUUCAGACAAUUUCCAAAAGCCAAAGUCAGUCCAUCUCAAGUGUUCACUUACAAAGGUUCGGUCUACGCAAUUGAAAGUGAGUUCAAAUUUUAAACAUUAUUGCAGUAUCUUGUGCUUAAAAAAGUAAGUUUUGUAUUAAUAUUUUAAUUUCAAGUUCUUAUGGUGAUUAAAUUUAUUAAAAUGUGUAACAAUUUAUUUUUUUGCAUCGUCUUUUCGGUGACUCAAGAUAAAACUCCCUAGUUAAUUUUGUUUAUUGUAUUAAAUUUCUCAAAAUGUGCAACGCUGCUUCGUGGCUGCGCCGAUUUCUUUAUUUGUUUAUAUUUUAUAUUUUUGUUUUAAUAAUUGCAUUUGGUUCAAUUUGGAUUGUGUCGCGGUGAUUUUGUAUUCAGGGAGUUUUAAUUUACUAUCGAACGGUACGCACACAGGAAUAUAUUAUAUGUAUACAUAUGCAUGUGCAUGCACAUUAGGGUGCGUUUCUUGCGACUAUUUUUGUUUGAAAAUUUUGAUGGAAACAUACAUUUUAGCCCUCAACAUCAAUAUUAUCUUAAUAAUCCACGACAUCUUUUCCAGAUAUUGAUCAUCAAUCGAUACUUUUACAGCUGAGAGAGAUAAUACUAUAAAAUAUCGCUGAGUCAUUCAAAUUUAAAGAAAGUAAAAUAAGUUUCCAUGUAUAAAUGGCAAAUAUCCCAUGCCGUAGACAGUUGCCAAAAACAGUUUCCAUCUGAAGUAUACGACUAUUUUACGCAGUUGAAAGUGAGUUCCAAUUUUAACCCGCAAAUACCUAAAAUUUUUUAAAUUAUUCAAGUACCUACUUGCCAAACAAAUUUGUGGCUGCGCCGAUUACAUUUGCAUAACAGGGGUUAGGCACAAUGGACACUUUUAGAGAAAAACCCUUUAAAACAUCGAAGACUUCGAUACAAUUCUUCAAUUUGUACAGAAGAUCAAUCAAACGCAAAAUGUUCAAUUAAAAAUGUCUUAACACAGCAAGAAGCUUGAAAGUGCUUAUUCCUUUUUGAUUUUUGUUUCGUGUUCAAGCCAAAUUCAAGAAAACUUGAUGGAGGUAAGGAAAUUACUUCAAGUCAAAAAACAAACCUUACCUUAAUGCUUUAUGGAGAAAAUAAAGCUGAAAACUCGGAAGCGUAUUUAGCUAUCGAUGACAGUCUAUACACAUGCGAAGUGCUCAUAAGGACAAUAGAUGCACGUUUCAAGAACUGCUACUAGCAUUGAACGCCCAAUUUCAUGAGUCAUACCAUCAAAUUCAGUACCUUACACUACAAACAUUAUACUACAGUUAAUUGACUCAGAAGACACCUUACGUAAGUCCUAAGCAUUACAAUUAUUUUUAUUCUAAAAUACAAAUAAAAAUCAAGUUUGUAUAACUUAUUUGUAAAGAAAAUCAUUUAAAUUUCAUUUAUAAGAGGGUUUAUAAUUUGCUUGAUAGAGAUCAAAUCGUUAUUUUAUUCAUAACUCAUGACAUGAGGUAUUUUAUAAAAAUUACAAUUAUCUUUUAUAUUUUUUCUUAAGUGUUUGCUUAAUAACUUGCAAUAAUUAAAAGUUUAGUUUGUAAAUCAAAGUUAUGGCUUAAUUGAAAUAUAAUGUACCAAACAAUUAAAGUUUUUAUUAUUUGUAAGACAAAAGAAGAUUUCACUGGUCCUUCCAGAAGAAAGGUCAAUAAUUUAUCGACAUUUAUUCAAUUUUCGGAUACCUUUUGAUUUCACUAUUAAAUUCUUUUGGGUAAGGACUAUCUGAAUUUUCGCAAAAACGUUUCAGAUUUAAUAUUGCAAUUUAAAGUUGAAGAUUUCAUAGGGUAAGUAUUUAUUGAUAAUUUAAUCUUUUCAAGUAUCUUAUUUUUCAGAUUCAUAUCUUCCAAAUAAUUUAUUGAAAUUUCUUUUAG
Molecule: long non-coding RNA, 2270 nt
Organism: Eupeodes corollae
Lineage: Eukaryota; Metazoa; Arthropoda; Insecta; Diptera; Syrphidae
Exons: 5
Source: RefSeq, a predicted model, not a curated record